RNAcentral lists this ribosomal RNA (498 nucleotides) under uncultured bacterium. RNAcentral's name for it is "bacterial SSU rRNA". It matches the Rfam family "Bacterial small subunit ribosomal RNA", at positions 26 to 518 of the family's 1533-position model. The record is from RNAcentral.
AGGAUGAACGCUAGCGACAGGCCUAACACAUGCAAGUCGAGGGGCAGCACAAGGAGCAAUCUGAGGUGGCGACCGGCGCACGGGUGAGUAACACGUAUGCAACCUGCCUGUAAGCGGGGAAUAACCCGUUGAAAGACGGACUAAUACCGCAUAAUACUAAAUUACUGCAUGGUAAUUUAUUUAAACAUUUAUGGCUUACAGAUGGGCAUGCGCAUGAUUAGCUAGUUGGAGAGGUAACGGCUCCCCAAGGCAACGAUCAUUAGGGGUUCUGAGAGGAAGGUCCCCCACACUGGUACUGAGACACGGACCAGACUCCUACGGGAGGCAGCAGUGAGGAAUAUUGGUCAAUGGACGAGAGUCUGAACCAGCCAAGUCGCGUGCAGGAAGAAUGUCCCUAUGGAUUGUAAACUGCUUUUGCAGGGGAAUAAAGUGCAUCACGUGUGAUGUUUUGUAUGUACUCUGCGAAUAAGGAUCGGCUAACUCCGUGCCAGCCGCUGC